RNAcentral lists this ribosomal RNA (274 nucleotides) under uncultured bacterium. RNAcentral describes it as "partial 16S ribosomal RNA". It matches the Rfam family "Bacterial small subunit ribosomal RNA", at positions 523 to 796 of the family's 1533-position model. The record is from RNAcentral.
AUACGGAGGGUGCAAGCGUUAUGCGGAAUCAUUGGGUUUAAAGGGUCCGCAGGCGGAUUAAUAAGUCAGUGGUGAAAUCCUCUCGCUCAACGAGAGAACUGCCAUUGAAACUGUUAGUCUUGAAUUCGGUCGAAGUAGGCGGAAUGUGUUAUGUAGCGGUGAAAUGCAUAGAUAUGACACAGAACACCGAUAGCGAAGGCAGCUUACUAGACCUGGAUUGACGCUCAUGGACGAAAGCGUGGGGAGCGAACAGGAUUAGAAACCCUAGUAGUCC